RNAcentral lists this ribosomal RNA (432 nucleotides) under uncultured bacterium. RNAcentral's name for it is "bacterial SSU rRNA". It matches the Rfam family "Bacterial small subunit ribosomal RNA", at positions 29 to 507 of the family's 1533-position model. The record is from RNAcentral.
AAUGAACGCUGGCGGCAGGCCUAACACAUGCAAGUCGAACGAAGUCUUCGGACUUAGUGGCGGACGGGUGAGUAACGCGUGGGAACAUACCCUUUGGUACGGAAUAGCCUCGGGAAACUGGGAGUAAUACCGUAUGUGCCCUUCGGGGGAAGAUUUAUCGCCAAAGGAUUGGCCCGCGUUGGAUUAGGUAGUUGGUGGAGUAAUGGCCUACCAAGCCGACGAUCCAUAGCUGGUUUGAGAGGAUGAUCAGCCACACUGGGACUGAGACACGGCCCAGACUCCUACGGGAGGCAGCAGUGGGGAAUCUUAGACAAUGGGCGCAAGCCUGAUCUAGCCAUGCCGCGUGAUCGAUGAAGGCCUUAGGGUUGUAAAGAUCUUUCAGAUGGGAAGAUAAUGACGGUACCAUCAGAAGAAGCCCCGGCUAACUCCGUG